GCGAGAAUAGCUCAGCGGUAGAGCAAAAGCUUCCCAAGCUUAAGGUCGCGGGUUCAAAUCCCGUUUCUCGCU
RNAcentral lists this transfer RNA (72 nucleotides) under Deltaproteobacteria bacterium. RNAcentral describes it as "tRNA-Gly". It matches the Rfam family "tRNA". Rfam says of the family: Transfer RNA (tRNA) molecules are approximately 80 nucleotides in length. Their secondary structure includes four short double-helical elements and three loops (D, anti-codon, and T loops). Further hydrogen bonds mediate the characteristic L-shaped molecular structure. tRNAs have two regions of fundamental functional importance: the anti-codon, which is responsible for specific mRNA codon recognition, and the 3' end, to which the tRNAs corresponding amino acid is attached (by aminoacyl-tRNA synthetases). tRNAs cope with the degeneracy of the genetic code in two manners: having more than one tRNA (with a specific anti-codon) for a particular amino acid; and 'wobble' base-pairing, i.e. permitting non-standard base-pairing at the 3rd anti-codon position. Lineage: Bacteria; Pseudomonadati; Myxococcota; Myxococcia. The record is from RNAcentral.